This 6771-nucleotide long non-coding RNA is filed under the name Lupinus angustifolius (narrow-leaved blue lupine). Its description in RNAcentral is "long non-coding RNA (LANG_LNC000212)". Lineage: Eukaryota; Viridiplantae; Streptophyta; Magnoliopsida; Fabales; Fabaceae. The record is from RNAcentral.
AACUUUGUAAUUUUGUUACAUAAGUUAAACAUCAAAUUAAGAAUGAUGCUUUUGAGAAAAUUAUUUUCUGAUAUUUGUAUUAGAUUCUAAAAAAAAUUUCUCUGGAAAGCUCACAUCGACAUUUACCAGAAACGCAAAGACAACAUGGACAAUUUUCACAAAAACAGCCACCACAAUCUUGAUCUCUAAGGCAUCGAUCACCAGAUAGUUUUUGUGGAUUUUCAAACUUCAUACCUGAAAAUCAUAGAAUAAAAAUAACAUAGGGGAAUGGUGAAAAAUAUAUAGAAUUAUAUUUCAGAUUAUAAUGUAACUCUUGAUAUAUAGAUAAAAUAAUAUUUUGUUGACAAUAAAAAAAUUACCUGAAGCAGAUAUUAUGAGGACAACAAAGAAUGCUAACUUGACCAAAGAAGUAUGCAUUUUGUUGGCUCUGUUGAUGCUAUCUUGUGGCCUGCCUCAAACUAUGAACAUUUAUAGGUUAAGAUGAUACAAUUUGCUUUGAGUCAUUAAUAGUAUUUAUGUUGAUUUUGUUAUAGACAAAUGUUAGUAUUUUAUUAUGGAUGAGACUCGAAUGUACAAACUCAUUUAUUUCAUUCCUUAAAUCAUUUAUUCGAACUAUCAGAACAUCUUUUAACUCCACAUAUCUUGAUUUAAUGGAUUAAAAAUGAGAUUUAAUUUAAAUUUUAGCAGUAUUAUGUUUCUUUAUCAAUAUAUAACAAAUAUAUAUCACUCAAAAGGUCGUUAAUUGAACUACUAUAUAAUGUAUUUUUUAUUAAUAUGUUACAACUAUCAAUGUUAUUAUAAAAUAUAUUUUUAAAUUAACUAUAAAGUCUAUAAAAACACCCCAAGGUUUAUAUCUUUUGCAAGUAAUCACAAAAAAAUAAUUUUCUUUCUAAUUACCCAUCAAACAUUCUUUGCAAAAUUGUUUCCUACAUAAAAAUAUUAUUAAAUUAGUGAUGAAAAUUCUAAUAGAUACAUUUUGUUUUAACCUCAUCUUUUAUUAUAUAUAUGAAUAUUAUCGUGUUAAACAUUUUUAGCUAUAAAAUUUACUUAUUCUCUUUUUCUUAAUUAAUUUUAUAUUUUGAUAUGGUAAUUUCCUCCGAAUAUUAAUGCAGAUUAACUUACAUUGUUGUAUUAAUAUUGUUGUGAGUCUAAUUAUAAUGAUUUGUUUAGUGACCUAUUAGUAAUUUAAAAAUGUAUUUAUGCCGGAACUAAUUUCAUAGACUCAUAAAUUUUAAUGGGUAAAAGGAGAAAAAAAUAGUUGAUAGUAGUUACUUGCUAAAAAGGUAAAGUUUAGAUAUUUUUGCACUUUGUCCUUGAAUUAAUUAGACAUUUAUUUUUAAUAUAAACAUAAAUAUAAGUAUUAAUACCAGUCUUAUGUCACCCAACAAUUUAACUUAUUAACUAGCAAGUUACCCGUGCAUUUGCACGGGACGAUAUUUUUUGCCGCAUGAUUAAGAACACAUAUGACAUGUGCAUUUAUGAUUAAGAAUAUGUAUGUUGCUCGUGCAUUCGCAUGGUUAAAACCAUAUAUGUUACCAGUGCAUUCAUAUUGUUAAAAAUUAUUAAUUAUAUAUAAAAUCAUACGGUCAAACCAUACGGUCAAACCAUACGGUUUAACUGUUUAAAUUGGAUAAACUUAAUAUGGGUCAUCUACUGGUUUAACAUCUUGCUCGACUUUCUCAACAUUGUUUUUUACACAUACAUAACAUGAUAUAGUUAGUAGUAUCCUAUUAAUCAAAAAAAUCAUCAAUAAAUUUAUAAGAUUCUAAAAUAAGAUUAGUAUAAAAAUAAAUAUUAUUUAACUCUAAAAUAGCUACAAACAAUAUGUUAUGAUUCAUAUUAUUAUUUUAAUAUUGCUAUAGUAACAUUAUAUUUUAAUAUUGUAUAGGUAAUCAUAUUCCUUUUAUUUUUAAAUAAAUCACAUGUCAUGAGGGUUUGAGAGAUUGACACAUGUCAUGAGGGCUUGAGAGAUUGACACAUGUCAUGAGGGACCUUUAAUUUUAAUGAGAGGUUGACACAUGUCAUGAGGGUUUGAGAGAUUGACACAUGUCAUGAGGGCUUGAGAGAUUGACACAUGUCAUGAGGGACCUUUAAUUUUAAUGAGAGGUUGACACAUGUCAUGAGGGUUUGAGAGAUUGACACAUAUCAUGAGGGAGUUUUUUUUUAUUAUAUAAGUAAUAGAUACUUAGUUGCUUUUAUUGACGUCACUACCAUGCAUGUAUACUCGAUUUCUUUAAAUUCAUUAAAUACUUUAGAUUAAUAUGCGUCAUAAGUAAAAGUUAUAUAGAUAUAGAGUAAACUUUUAUCAAAUAGAAUACAUACACUAUUAGUAUUGAUAGUCAUAGAUUUAAUUUUAGAGAUAAUCAUCUCCUUCGAAGCUGUUAAAUAAGUGGAAUGUCUAUAAAACUUCUAUCACUAACCUGAACUUCAAAAUUUCUCAUAUCUUCAUAGAGGAAAACAAAUAUGCUGAAAAGUUGGCUAAUCAUUGUCUAUUUUAUAGGUCUAAUUUAUGGUGGAAUGUACUGCUUUCGUUUCUUAAUGAGGAAUUUGCUAGAAAUAAGUUAAUACUUCCUAACUUUAGAUUUAGAAACUUGUAACCUUAUUUCCUUGUAAUCCUUCUUAUUAAUCUAUUUCCGUCAGUGCCUUGCACUCUCGGUUUAUAAAAAAAUAAUUCUUAAUAUGGGUAAAAUAUGAUAAUACAAAAUUAUGUUGUCUAACUAUUAAUUUCUUUCAUAAUAACAAAAAAUAUAUAAAGAACAUAUAUAACUAUGAAAAAAAAUGUAUAUGCUGACAUUGUAAUUUUUUUUACAUUGAUAAUAUAUUAUUCGUCAUUCAUAUUUAAUUAUUAUUGACUUAAUUAAAUAUAUAAUACAAAUGAAUGAUGAGUAAUAUGUUGACUAUGAAUAAAUAUUUACAUUAGAAUUUCAUAGAUUGGGUGUAUGUAUACACAAAGUCAACAAUGUCAAUAAGGUACAACAAAAGUAGAGAGACCAUUGAUGCUUAAAAUUGCUAUAGUUAUCUAUGAAAAAUAUUUCUUAUUAUAUGCAAAAACCAGUACAAAAAAUAUUUAUGUAUUAAUUAAUGGUUAAAAUUGGUAUUUCGUUGAUCAAUUGACAGACACAAUUGAUGCUUGAAAUUGCCAUAGUUUUGGUAUUAAGUCAAAACUGUUUGUUUUGGAAAGCUAAAUAUAAAUCUUUCUCUUUUUCAUUAAUUUAAUUGAUUUUUAACUUUGUAGUUUGUAAUCUUUCUUAUUAAACUAAAAUUACUUUGGUUUUUAGAUGACCUUCUUUUAUAAUCAUGGCGAAGUUCCAUUUUUUCAAAUAUGAAAAUCCAAAUUCAGUAGGCGUCACGUUACAAAGGAUUUGAAUAAGUUACAAAAUAUAUAUUUUUCAUCAUUUUAGGGUAAAAAAAAUAAUGACUUGUUUACUUGAAACUAAAAACCAAACACAAAAUGCAUUUUAAUCACCAUUUUUAACCGUAUUAAAAACACUACGGAUGAAAAUAUGUCCAUGCCGACUGAACUUCAGUUGUUCUAUAUGGGAGGAGAGUUAAUAACACUUGAAGUGUUGCUCUCAAGAAUCGAACGCUCGAUCUUGAGAAUCCAGUGAGAUCUUACACCAAUAGACCAAUGUCUUGGUGGUAAAAAGGUUAAUUAUCUAUAAGGAAUAGUUGUAAUUAUUUUCUUAUUAACUACACUAGCACUCAUUAAUAUUGCAAAACUAAACAAACUUCUUAUAUCUUCUUUAUCCUUAACAUAAACUACCCUUAUUUAUACACACUUAGUACACUCAGUAUGAGUUAUAUGAGAUAAGUGUAAUAUUUCAAAUAUUAUGAGUGUUGAAUUUAAUUAAAUUAAAAUCCAAAUUAUAUUAGUGUAAUUUAAUCUUAAUUAAAUAUUUAUUUGUAUACUAGCUAUGAUAAGUUUGUCAUUUUUAAUUUUGCAUUUGGAAUUUGACUUUUUUUGGGUACAUUCUUUGGGGUUUGAAUUUGACUUUGAAAUCACUUUUCUUUUUUUAUGUAGGUAAUAUAAAAAUACUUCAUUCUAUAUUAUUUACAAAAUUAAAGAUUAUUUUUUAUAAAAUACCAAGUUUGUUUGAUCUUGAGUUGAAUGCCCUAUUUUUGAUAAUACUCAAUAAGUGUUAAAAUAAUGAUGAUUCAUGUACUAUUAUUUUUGUUAAAUCAUUUAUUGAUUCUAGUUUUUUACAACCAAUAAUAACUAUUUUAAGUAGUAAAGUUAAAAAAAAGUAUAUUGAAAUUGCUUUGAUUUUCUAGAUACAGAUGGGUCCUCAUUUAUUUUAAGAAUAAAUAUAUUUACUAAUUAUAAUGGACAUUAAGAAGAAAUCAGUGUUGUUAAAACCGUACUGGUUAUCAAACCGGUCAGGGUUGUAUAGUGGUAUAGUGGUUCAACCAGUAGUUUAAUAAUUAAUCUGCAUGCCAUUUAAACCGGACAUACCUACUUAUAUUUUUAUAUAUAUAAACCUAUAACAAAAAAAAUUCCAAAGAGGUAGAUACUCAAAUUUAUAAUCCAUAUUUAUAAUCUACUCAAAAUUCAUAUAAAUAAACAACUUUAAGUAUUUAACAAAUUCAAAGUCUAAAUUAAAAAACAUAUAUCAAUCCAAAAGUAUCACUUAACAACCACAAAAUAUAAAUAAAUGACAACUUCACAACUCACUAUAUAAAACAAAUAAAUUUGGAGUUUUAACAUUUAACACAAAUGAGUGUUGUCUUAUAUGAAUAUUAUACUUUUUUACCAAAUCCUAUCUUCAGACAGUACUCCAAGAUUACACAAAUGUCACUGAGAUUACACACGAAUGUUAGGAACCAAAAGGUGUAAUCUAAGUAUGUCUUGGAAGCAUGUGUCUUGAAGUUUUGAAGAAGGGUUGGAAAGAUGAGUCACAUUGUAAUGGGUUUUUAAGUUUUUUUAAAAAAAAAAAUGUGUAUAAACCGACCGGUUUAGUAAAAUACCGGCCGGUUCACCGGUUUUGAUACUUAGCCGAUUCAACACUUGUACCGUACCGGUUAGGAGUCCAGUUCACUAGUUUUCCGAUUGAACCAGCCAGUAUGAUACGGUUUUUAUAAUUAUGGAAGAAAUGAUAUACCUUUCUUUUAUUCCCUACAAAGUUUCCACAAAUAUGAUAUAAAAUGAAAGACAAGUAAUGUCUCUUUAAAAUUUUGUUUUUACUAAAGUAAAUAAAAUUGAUCGUUCUCCUAUUAUUUAGUUUAAUUAUAGUCAUAAUUACUCUUGUUUAGCAAGCAAACUACACUCACCUCCUUAUCAAGGUACUCAGUAUAAUAUAUGUAUUAAAUUUGGAUAGUUUUUUAACGUGUAAAAAGAUAGACACAAUUUGUAAGUGUAAUUAAUAUUUAUUAAUGUCUUAUCAUAUGCAUGAAUGCUUAGAAACCCUUUAUAUAUUGUGGAAAAAUGUAUAUAUAAAUAGUGUAUGAGUUAUAUAUAUUUUUAUUGCAUUAUUUAAUAUAUAUAUUUAAUUAUUAUUAAUUCUUUAAAAAAAGUAAUAUAAAUAAAUAAUAUAUGAUAUACUGAUUGUAUAUAAAUUUUGAGUUUAAAAUCUAUGCAUUGACAUUGUAAAGUUUUUUAAACUAUCAGUAUAUUAUCCACCAUUGAUUUCUAUUACUUUUGUUUGAGAGUCAAAGAUGAUUAACAAAUCAAUUGUAGAUACUUGAUGACAGUGUAUAAAAUCCUUACACUGUCAAUAUAUACAUAUUAAAUUUAUAAAUUUUUACAUUAAUAAUAGAUGAAUAUUAUAUUCUUAUAUAUUUAAUCUAAAUAUUAUAAUGUUUUGUCAACAACUCAAUCAUUUAUUUAACAUAAUCAAAUUUUACCAACAAUUGUUGUUUUAGUGAUAUAAAACUCCGCUAAAUUUUCAGAUGUCCAAAAUGUCAAUAAUUUAACUCCUAGGAGCAAUACUUAUUGGGAGAGACAAUCAUGUACCAAGAAAGAGAUUAAUUCUUUACCUAUAAGAGUAAAAAAUACCUUUAAUAAUACAAAAAAAAUCAAAAGCGUUUGAAAUCCUCCCAUUAAAAUAUCAUGUUAAAUAUCAACCCCAUUAAAUAUUUUAUUAUUAAUGAGCAUACAUGAUGAGUUUAUUCCCGAAUCCAACUUUCUCUAUUUGUUACAUAAAUUGAACAUCGAAUUAGGAACGAUGUUGUUGAGGAAGUUGUUUUUGGAUAUUUGCAUCAGAUACAAAAAGUUUAUCUCUUGAACGCCCACUACAUACACAUUUAAAAUGAAUGCAAAUACAACAUAUACAAGGAUCGCAAACACAUCCACCACACUCUGCAUUGUUUUUGCAUGGCUGACCAAAUUGUACAUCUUCAUGCAUCAUACCUGAAAAAUGAAAAUGCAUUCAAAUUUUUAUUAAAUUAAGUAUUAUAUAUUCAUAUAAUUAAUAUAAAUAUACAUUAAGAUAAGACUGUUAUCCCCUAACAAUGUAACAUUUAUGUACUAAAUAUUGUUAGGGAGGCUGAUAACAACUGCGUCAUAUCUAUUCAUAUUUAAUAGAAAAUUGUUAGAAAAAUAUUUCUCAUCUAUACAAGAAUCAUAGAAUAAGAAUAACAUAGGAAUACGGUGAAGUAUAGAUAUAAUUAUAUUCCGGGAAUAAUGUAACUAUUGUGAUAUAGAUGAUAAAAUAUUUUGUUGCAAAUAAGAAAAUUUACCUGAAGCAGAUAUUAUGAGGACAACAAAGAAAGCUAACUUGACCAAAUGUGUAUACAUUUUUUUUGGCUAUAUCAAUGAUAUCUAUGGUCCUCGUC